GCGAGAUUGAUGAAACGGGUAGACAUGUUGGACUCAAAAUCCAAUGCCGAGAGGCGUGAGAGUUCGAAUCUCUCAUCUCGCACCA
Molecule: transfer RNA, 85 nt
Filed under: Caudoviricetes sp.
Lineage: Duplodnaviria; Heunggongvirae; Uroviricota; Caudoviricetes
Description: tRNA-Leu
Rfam family: tRNA
About the family: Transfer RNA (tRNA) molecules are approximately 80 nucleotides in length. Their secondary structure includes four short double-helical elements and three loops (D, anti-codon, and T loops).
Source: RNAcentral